RNAcentral lists this ribosomal RNA (468 nucleotides) under Pantoea sp. RNAcentral's name for it is "bacterial SSU rRNA". It matches the Rfam family "Bacterial small subunit ribosomal RNA", at positions 56 to 516 of the family's 1533-position model. Lineage: Bacteria; Pseudomonadati; Pseudomonadota; Gammaproteobacteria; Enterobacterales; Erwiniaceae. The record is from RNAcentral.
UGCAGUCGGACGGUAGCACAGAGAGCUUGCUCUUGUGUGACGAGUGGCGGACGGGUGAGUAAUGUCUGGGGAUCUGCCCGAUAGAGGGGGAUAACCACUGUAAACGCUGGCUAAUACCGCAUAACGUCGCAAGACCAAAGAGGGGGACCUUCGGGCCUCUCACUAUCGGAUGAACCCAGAUAUGAUUAGCUAGUAGGCGGGGUAAUGCCCCACCUAGGCGACGAUCCCUAGCUGGUCUGAGAGGAUGACCAGCCACACUGGAACUGAGACACGCUCCAGACUCCUACGGGAGGCAGCGCUGCGGAAUAUUGCACAAUGGGCGCAAGCCUGAUGCAGCCCUGCCGCGUGUAUGAAGAAGGCCUUCGUGUUGUAAAGUACUUUCAGCGGGGAGGAAGGCGAUGCGGUUAAUAACCGCGUCGAUUGACGUUACCCGCAGAAGAAGCACCGGCUAACUCCCUGCCAGCAGCG